ACUCCCCAGGCGGGGUACUUAUUGCGUUAACUCCGGCACAGAAGGGGUCGAUACCUCCUACACCUAGUACCCAUCGUUUACGGCCAGGAUUACCGGGGUAUCUAAUCCCGUUCACUCCCCUGGCUUUCGCGCCUCAGCGUCAGACACAGUCCAGAAAGUCGCCUUCGCCACUGGUGUUCCUCCUAAUAUCUACGCAUUUCACCGCUACACUAGGAAUUCCACUUUCCUCUCCUGCACUCAAGAAAUGUAGUUUCCAUCCCAUCACGGGGUUGAGCCCCGAACUUUUAAGACAGACUUACAUUCCCGCCUGCGCGCGCUUUACGCCCAAUAAUUCCGGACAACGCUUGCCACCUACGUAUUACCGCGGCUGCUGGCACGUAGUUAGCCGUGGCUUCCUCCUCAGGUACCGUCAUUACUUAACAUUAUUCACAUUAAGCACAUUCGUCCCUGAAGACAGAGCUUUACGAUCCGAAAACCUUCUUCACUCACGCGGCGUUGCUCCGUCAGACUUUCGUC
RNAcentral lists this ribosomal RNA (516 nucleotides) under uncultured bacterium. RNAcentral describes it as "partial 16S rRNA". The record is from RNAcentral.